AGAGUUUGAUCCUGGCUCAGGAUGAACGCUAGCGGCAGGCUUAACACAUGCAAGUCGAGGGGUAGAGGUUGCUUGCAACCUUGAGACCGGCGCACGGGUGCGUAACGCGUAUGCAACCUACCUUUUACAGAGGGAUAGCCCAGAGAAAUUUGGAUUAAUACCUCAUAGUAUAUAUCUUUCACAUGUUAGGUAUAUUAAAGUUCCAACGGUAAAAGAUGGGCAUGCGUCCUAUUAGCUAGAUGGUAAGGUAACGGCUUACCAUGGCUACGAUAGGUAGGGGUCCUGAGAGGGAGAUCCCCCACACUGGUACUGAGACACGGACCAGACUCCUACGGGAGGCAGCAGUGAGGAAUAUUGGACAAUGGGCGCAAGCCUGAUCCAGCCAUGCCGCGUGCAGGAAGAAGCAUCUAUGGUGUGUAAACUGCUUUUGUACAGGAAGAAACAUCCCGACGUGUCGGGACUUGACGGUACUGUAAGAAUAAGGAUCGGCUAACUCCGUGCCAGCAGCCGCGGUAAUACGGAGGAUCCAAGCGUUAUCCGGAAUCAUUGGGUUUAAAGGGUCCGUAGGCGGUUUGGUAAGUCAGUGGUGAAAGCCCGCAGCUCAACUGUGGAACGGCCAUUGAUACUGCCAUACUUGAAUUACAAGGAAGUAACUAGAAUAUGUAGUGUAGCGGUGAAAUGCUUAGAUAUUACAUGGAAUACCAAUUGCGAAGGCAGGUUACUACUUGUGGAUUGACGCUGAUGGACGAAAGCGUGGGGAGCGAACAGGAUUAGAUACCCUGGUAGUCCAA
Molecule: ribosomal RNA, 791 nt
Filed under: uncultured bacterium
Lineage: Bacteria
Description: bacterial SSU rRNA
Rfam family: Bacterial small subunit ribosomal RNA
Source: RNAcentral